Molecule: small RNA, 27 nt
Filed under: Bombyx mori (domestic silkworm)
Lineage: Eukaryota; Metazoa; Arthropoda; Insecta; Lepidoptera; Bombycidae
Description: ovarian small RNA-15781
Source: RNAcentral
GAGCAUGGGUAAUACGGAAUGUAUGUC